AGAUAGAUAGAUAGAUAGAUAGAUAGAUAGAUAGACAAAAUAUUUUCUGUUAGAUAUAGACGGCAGAUAAACAUUUAUGUAGAUGAUGUAUAUAUAGAGUAUUUUAAUUUAAGGGCAUGUUCUGGCUCUUCAAUGAUAUAAAUAGGUUCAUACCAAUCUGUCUUUGAGGUGUGUGUGAUGUAACACAUCUCGACUGACAUAUGAAUGCAAGUUAGCUCGUAAAACAUUUCCUCUGCAGGUAAGACCUGCUCAGGCACUGCCCAAAAAAAUGCACCUCCCGUGACGGCGAAGGGAUGAACGAGCUGCCCGUGUUUGCCGCGGACCGUAGCGCCUGCAUGACGUCAAUAAAGUGAAAUUACAUAAAACUUCGACGCAACAGCCGUUACAGCAGUUCGAGCCCUGGCUGCGCCGCGCUCCCCCAUCCUCACCGAUGGAGUGGUACGGCCCAGUUCCUCUCCUCCUCCUCCUCCUCCUCCUCCUCCUGCUGCUGUGUCCUCCAUCACUCCAUUUCCUUUGAUUCUGUUUCUCCUUGAGGACGGAUUCAGGCCUUCCUGCAGAGCACAGCUCCUGGUUCCUCAUCCCCCGUCUCUCCGCCCUUCUUCGAAAAGAGGACAAGGUGAGCGAGGAUUACAAAGGCAGCAUAAAGAAGAAACCUGCCGGAUUCCUCAACCCCUUGAUCCCAUUCCCACAUGGAAGCAAAAGCCAAGGGAGCGUCGAAGUCUGCCUCCAAAGCAGAGAAGAAGGAGGCAGCGCCGCCGCCGAAACCAGACCCCGUCUCGGCUGAACCCGCGGAGCCCGAGAAGCCGGCGGAAGAUGGAGCCUCCAACCAACAGGGGGCGGCGGAGUCCGCAGGAAGUAGCUGCGAAACCUUAGAAAAUUUGAAGCCUUUCCUGAUCGGAGGAGCUGUCAUCGCCCUUGGCGCUGUAUUGGUGGGCGUAAUCUUAUUAGCCAAAAAAAACUGACCUACGAUUGGUUGUUAGACGGUGGGGUUGAUUAGCUCACAGACUAUUAGAGUUUAUAUAUAAAGGGGCGGGGAGUCACUAGAGAGGUGAGCGUACGUCCUCUUAGUCCUGGACAUGUGCUGGCAAGGAUUUCCGAAUUGCCAGAAAUGAUCAGGUUUUGGCUUUGGUUUUCGAAAAAAAGUGGCAUGCAGGCAUUGUGCGUAGUCGACCAACCGUGGCCCCACGAGAAAGACGGGACCCGCAGAGAGCGGCCGAAGCCGUGCAGAUUCGCACAGGUACAACGUACGAAGGCCACAGAGGUGGCUUCAGCAGGAAAAACAAAGUCAAAACCCGGGCAUUUUAAGCAAUCUGGAAACCUCGACCGGGGCAUGCCCCGGAAAACGAGCACGUAUGGUCGCUCUACACACUAGGCGUCUUAAUUUUACGCUGUCCUUUUAAUUUCAGUGCUUGUGGUGACGUUCCUGCCAGCUAUUAGAGCAAGCUAGAGAUGCAUUUAGGCCAAACACGUUUCCUAAAACAUUAAACUUAGUCGUAGCCAAUGCACAUUUCCAUCCUAGUCACUCUGCCUGCGGGGCUGAUGCUCAAAAACACCCUCAUCCACGCCGUAAUGUUGAUAUUAAACCAAUUAUCCAAAAAAUAUUUCCGUUUUUCAAGCUGGAACUGAAUCCAUAACCGCCAACUGUACGAUACAAUAAAGUUAAGAUGCAUGACUCAAGGUUAAAAACACACUCAUUUGUAGAAAUUAAACGCUAUUUACGUCUUGAAACCAAUAAGAGCGAUUGGUUUCGCACUUAAAUGCUUGCGCAAAUCCAUAUGUACAUAUCGAGCCACCGACAUCUAUUACAGUCAGGCCUGUAUUGCUGAGAGGAGGUGUGGAAAUGCAAAGAAAAUCUCAAAUAUUAUAUGGGUUCAUUUCGUAUUUGGCAUCGGUUAUCGAACGAACGCCAGUCAUCCAGUGACCUCGCGCACUGUAGACCAUCUGUGCCAUUUCAAAAAUCUUAGUUUCUUGCUCGAAAGACGAUUUUCCGAAGUGGGCCCGCGGAAAUAGAUGCGCGACGCAACAUAGAUGCAACGUAGAUUACGGCGGCUCUCGGCCAAACAGCUUCGAUUUCGCAGUUACACUACGACGAGCGCUGCACACGACAGAAACGAUCCCUGAAUGCAUGCGGACACAAACAAUAUACACUCACACGUCACACGACAUACUGUCACAGAAAAUGACAUUUUCUUUAAAGUGCGUAUGUAAUGCAAUAAUUCAAAUAGAACUCUGUAUUUAAAAGAAAGAGGACUGUGUAUUUGUUGCGAUGCGGGGGGGAUGAAGACGCGGCAACAUGGCGGUCGUCUUGGAGGCGAUGUUGAUGAUGAGUGUUUAUGAUUUUAUUCGUUUGUUCUAAUGAAGUUUACCUGUUUCUCUAAUGUGGCCCCUUUCCUCCUGCCAUAUGUAUUUAUUUUGCACACGACCUCGCCUGCUGCCUUUCUGCUGUUCCUUGUGUGAAUUAAAACAAGAUGGCUCCCUUGUGACUCGAUGACCUUAUUAAAGGACAAUGAACCAUA
This is a long non-coding RNA of Puntigrus tetrazona (Sumatra barb), 2516 nucleotides long. RefSeq lists it as uncharacterized. The transcript has 2 exons. The record is from RefSeq and is a predicted model, not a curated record. Lineage: Eukaryota; Metazoa; Chordata; Actinopteri; Cypriniformes; Cyprinidae.